AAUGUAGGUUAAUCUUAAAAAAAAAAUGUGUAUUGAAAAACCCUGAAGCUGUUUGGUCAACUCUAACCUAUGGGAGCUGUGGAAAAUUUGACAGGUCAUUUCACUUGUUUAUUGGUCAAUAUUAUUGCUUUGUGAUACAGCGAACAACCACAAAAUUAUUUCUCUUUUGCUUAGCCAGGCACUAAGAGUGGGAAGGAAACUGGUAAUACCAGUACAUGCCCCAAUCUGGAAAAGUUGAAUAGACAUUCCUUAAUUUCCUUUGUGACUAUGAAAAUGAAAGUUCUUUCUUCACAGAGAGGAAACAACCUAGACAUCAUAAAAGAAAUACCGAUAUCACCACUUCUUUUAAGAUGAAAAGAUAACAUUUUAUGCACAUGACAGAGUAGGCAAUGUUCAACCCUUGAAUCUAUCAAAUCAGUAUAAUUUCAUGGAGGAUCAGCACUUUCAAGCUUUUACGAUUUAACUGCUUUUAAUGGUUUUUGGUAAUUAUACUGUUAUCAUCAUUUUAAAAUAAGUAUAAUUGGUACGCUCUUCAGGGAUUGAACAGGAAAACAUGGUAUUGUUUUGCCACAGAGAGAGAGAGAGAGAGAGAGAGAGAGAGAGAGAGAUUGAUUACUGGAGGAAGGAAAAAAGGAAUGAAGGAAAAAAGGAAGAAGAAAGAGAGAGUAUAAAAACCAUUGCAAGAAAUUACAGAUCAGUGCGGGAAAGACUUGCUGACACUGGUGGCUGGAAGGAUGACAGAGAAGCUUGCCUGAUGGCAGAGCUCAUCUCACUAUGCUCCUUGCAGGUAAGGAUUUAUUCAUUUGCUCAUGCAUUCACUCAUUCAUUCAAUUAGGAAUACUGCAGUCUGUACACAAGAUGUAUGUGUGUGUGUGUAUGUGUGUGUAUUAGUUGCUUAGUCGUGUCCGGCUCUUUGCAACCCCACAGAAUGUAGCCCACCAGGCCCCUCUGUCCAUGGGCCUCUCCAGGCAAGAACACUGGAGUGGGUUGCCAUUUCCUUCUCCAAAAGAAACUAUAGAAAGAAAGUGAAGUUGCUCAGUCGUGUCCGACUCUUUGCGACCCCAUGGACUGUAGCCUACCAGGCUCUUCCAUCCAUGGGAUUUUUCAGGCAAGAGUACUGGAGUGGGUUGCCAUUUCCUUCUCCAAAAGGAACUAUAGAAAGAAAGAAAGUAAAGUCGCUCAGUCGUGUCCAACUCUUUGCGAUCCCAUGGACUGUAGCCUACCAGGCUCUUCCAUCCAUGGAAUUUUCCAGGCAAGAGUACUGGAGUGGGGUGCCACUUCCUUCUCCAGGCACACAAGAUAGAACACCUCUAUUUUCAAGUUCACCAGUUAGUGAGCUCCCUAUGUGCUAGGCUUGAGAACAUAGAGGUGAGCCAGAUUUCACAGGUUCAUCCAUCUCUAGGAAUCUUAAGGCAGCAGGCACGUCCUUUCUGAGAAGCCCCCAGUCUGGAUGAGGUUCCCGUCCAUCAUAGGUGCUCCUGAGGUACUUUGCCCUCAAGCGUCACCACACACACUGCAAUGGGAGCUCUGGGCUCUGCUCCCCACAGCUCUGGUCCCAGAGAGCUUAGCAUAACACCUGGCAGCUAGUAGGUGCUCAAUGAAUAAUGGUUGGAAGACUGUAACAGUACUUCUCACAGCACUCUAUGCCAUCCAGUUACUUUUCUUCCUUCUUUCUAGUUUAAUUUUUUAUUAUUUAUGUGUUUUUUUAAAUUGAAGUGUAGUUGAUUUAAAA
This 1732-nucleotide long non-coding RNA is filed under the name Bos indicus x Bos taurus (hybrid cattle). RNAcentral describes it as "lncRNA (ENSBIXG00000023769.1)". Lineage: Eukaryota; Metazoa; Chordata; Mammalia; Artiodactyla; Bovidae. The record is from RNAcentral.